This 598-nucleotide ribosomal RNA is filed under the name uncultured bacterium. RNAcentral describes it as "bacterial SSU rRNA". It matches the Rfam family "Bacterial small subunit ribosomal RNA", at positions 25 to 664 of the family's 1533-position model. The record is from RNAcentral.
CAGGAUGAACGCUGGCGGUAUGCGUAACACAUGCAAGUCGAACGAAGUUUUUCGGAACUUAGUGGCGGACGGGUGAGUAACGCGUGAGAAUCUGCCUUAAGGAUUGGGACAACAGUGGGAAACCGCUGCUAAUACCAAAUAUGCCUUUUAGUGAAACGGGUAAAACCGCCUUAAGAUGAGCUCGCGUCUGAUUAGCUAGUAGGUGUGGUAAGAGCGCACCUAGGCGACGAUCAGUAGCUGGUCUGAGAGGACGACCAGCCACACUGGGACUGAGACACGGCCCAGACUCCUACGGGAGGCAGCAGUGAGGAAUUUUCCGCAAUGGGCGAAAGCCUGACGGAGCAAUACCGCGUGAGGGAGGAAGGUUCUUGGAUUGUAAACCUCUUUGGGCAGAGAAGAAUAAUGACGGUAUCUGAGGAAUAAGCAUCGGCUAACUCCGUGCCAGCAGCCGCGGUAAUACGGAGGAUGCAAGCGUUAUCCGGAAUGAUUGGGCGUAAAGGGUCUGUAGGUGGUUGUUCAAGUCUGCUGUUAAAGCGUCUGGCUUAACCAGAUAAAGGCGGUGGAAACUGAACGACUAGAGUGCGGUAGGGGUAGAGGG